Molecule: ribosomal RNA, 402 nt
Filed under: uncultured bacterium
Lineage: Bacteria
Description: bacterial SSU rRNA
Rfam family: Bacterial small subunit ribosomal RNA
Source: RNAcentral
UGAGGAAUAUUGCUCAAUGGGCGAAAGCCUGAAGCAGCAACGCCGCGUGCGCGAUGAAGGUCUUCGGAUCGUAAAGCGCUUUUGAGAGGGACGAGAUAGGACGGUACCUCUUGAAUAAGUCACGGCUAACUACGUGCCAGCAGCCGCGGUAAAACGUAGGUGGCAAGCGUUAUCCGGAUUCACUGGGCGUAAAGCGCGUGCAGGUGGCUUCGUAAGUUGGACGUUAAAUCUUUCGGCCUAACCGGGAGGUGUCGUUCAAUACUGCGGGGCUUGAGGGUAGAAGAGGGGGGUGGAAUUGCCGGUGUAGUGGUGAAAUGCGUAGAUAUCGGCAGGAACACCUGUGGCGAAAGCGGCCCCCUGGUCUGCUCCUGACACUCAGACGCGAAAGCUAGGGGAGUGAAC